UACGAGGGGUCCAAGCGUUGUUCGGAAUUACUGGGCGUAAAGCGGGUGUAGGCGGCCAUAACAGUCGGAUGUGAAAGCCCUGGGCUCAACCCAGGAAGUGCAUCCGAUACUAUAUGGCUUGAGUACUAGAGAGGGAAGUGGAAUUCCUGGUGUAGCGGUGAAAUGCGUAGAUAUCAGGAGGAACAUCGGUGGCGAAGGCG
This 200-nucleotide ribosomal RNA is filed under the name uncultured bacterium. Its description in RNAcentral is "partial 16S ribosomal RNA". It matches the Rfam family "Bacterial small subunit ribosomal RNA", at positions 524 to 723 of the family's 1533-position model. The record is from RNAcentral.